AGCAGCCGCGGUAAUUCCAGCUCCAAUAGCGUAUAUUAAAGUUGUUGCAGUUAAAAAGCUCGUAGUUGAAUUUCGGGGUCAGUAGGCUGGUCGUGCCACAGGUAUGUACUGGUCUCACUGAUUCCUCCUUCCUGAUGAACCGUAAUGCCAUUAAUUUGGUGUUGCGGGGAAUCUGGACUGUUACUUUGAAAAAUUAGAGUGUUUAAAGCAGGCUAACGCUUGAAUACAUUAGCAUGGAAUAAUGAAAUAGGACGAUCGAUCCUAUUUUGUUGGUUUCUAGGAUUGACGUAAUGAUUAAUAGGGAUAGUUGGGGGCAUUAGUAUUCAAUUGUCAGAGGUGAAAUUCUUGGAUUUAUUGAAGACUAACUACUGCGAAAGCAUUUGCCAAGGAUGUUUUCAUUAAUCAAGAACGAAAGUUAGGGGAUCGAAGACGAUCAGAUACCGUCGUAGUCUUAACCAUAAACUAUGCCGACUAGGGAUCGGAUGAUGUUAAUUUUUAAUGUA
Molecule: unclassified non-coding RNA, 503 nt
Filed under: uncultured Glomus
Lineage: Eukaryota; Fungi; Glomeromycota; Glomeromycetes; Glomerales; Glomeraceae
Description: SSU rRNA
Rfam family: Eukaryotic small subunit ribosomal RNA
Source: RNAcentral